AGUGAACGCUGGCGGUAGGCCUAACACAUGCAAGUCGAACGGCAGCACAGUAAGAGCUUGCUCUUACGGGUGGCGAGUGGCGGACGGGUGAGGAAUACAUCGGAAUCUACUUUUUCGUGGGGGAUAACGUAGGGAAACUUACGCUAAUACCGCAUACGACCUACGGGUGAAAGCAGGGGAUCUUCGGACCUUGCGCGAUUGAAUGAGCCGAUGUCGGAUUAGCUAGUUGGCGGGGUAAAGGCCACCAAGGCGACGAUCCGUAGCUGGUCUGAGAGGAUGAUCGGCCACACUGGAACUGAGACACGGUCCAGACUCCUACGGGAGGCAGCAGUGGGGAAUAGUGGACAAUGGGCGCAAGCCUGAUCCAGCCAUACCGCGUGGGUGAAGAAGGCCUUCGGGUUGUAAAGCCCUUUUGUUGGGAAAGAAAAGCAGCAGGUUAAUACCCCGCUGUUCUGACGGUACCCAAAGAAUAAGCACCGGCUAACUUCGUG
RNAcentral lists this ribosomal RNA (491 nucleotides) under uncultured bacterium. RNAcentral's name for it is "partial 16S ribosomal RNA". It matches the Rfam family "Bacterial small subunit ribosomal RNA", at positions 29 to 507 of the family's 1533-position model. The record is from RNAcentral.